GGCCAAGUUUUUAAGGGCGCACGGUGGAUGCCUUGGCACCAGGAACCGAUGAAGGACGUGGGAGGCCACGAUAGUCCCCGGGGAGUCGUCAACCAGGCUUUGAUCCGGGGGUUUCCGAAUGGGGAAACCCGGCAGUCGUCAUGGGCUGUCACCCGCUGCUGAACACAUAGGCAGUGUGGAGGGAACGCGGGGAAGUGAAACAUCUCAGUACCCGCAGGAAGAGAAAACAACCGUGAUUCCGGGAGUAGUGGCGAGCGAAACCGGAUGAGGCCAAACCGUAUGCGUGUGAGACCCGGCAGGGGUUGCGUAUACGGGGUUGUGGGAUCUCUCUUUCAUGGUCUGCCGGCCAUGAGACGAGUCAGAAACCGUUGAUGUAGGCGAAGGACAUGCGAAAGGUCCGGCGUAGAGGGUAAGACCCCCGUAGUCGAAACGUCAGCGGCUCGUUUGAGAGACACCCAAGUAGCACGGGGCCCGAGAAAUCCCGUGUGAAUCUGGCGGGACCACCCGCUAAGCCUAAAUAUUCCCUGGUGACCGAUAGCGGAUAGUACCGUGAGGGAAUGGUGAAAAGUACCGCGGGAGCGGAGUGAAAUAGUACCUGAAACCGUGUGCCUACAAGCCGUGGGAGCGUCGGAAUGAAGACUUGUCUUCAUUCUCGUGACUGCGUGCCUUUUGAAGAAUGAGCCUGCGAGUUUGCGGUGUGUUGCGAGGUUAACCCGAGUGGGGAAGCCGUAGCGAAAGCGAGUCCGAAUAGGGCGAUUUUAGUAGCACGCUCAAGACCCGAAGCGGAGUGAUCUAGCCAUGGGCAGGUUGAAGCGGAGGUAAGACUUCGUGGAGGACCGAACCCACCAGGGUUGAAAACCUGGGGGAUGACCUGUGGUUAGGGGUGAAAGGCCAAUCAAACUCCGUGAUAGCUGGUUCUCCCCGAAAUGCAUUUAGGUGCAGCGUCGUGUGUUUCUUGCCGGAGGUAGAGCACUGGAUAGGCGAUGGGCCCUACCGGGUUACUGACCUUAGCCAAACUCCGAAUGCCGGUAAGUGAGAGCGCGGCAGUGAGACUGUGGGGGAUAAGCUCCAUGGUCGAGAGGGAAACAGCCCAGAGCAUCGACUAAGGCCCCUAAGCGUACGCUAAGUGGGAAAGGAUGUGGAGUCGCACAGACAACCAGGAGGUUGGCUUAGAAGCAGCCACCCUUGAAAGAGUGCGUAAUAGCUCACUGGUCUAGUGAUUCCGCGCCGACAAUGUAGCGGGGCUCAAGCGUACCGCCGAAGUCGUGUCAUUGCAGCAAUACGGCCAACGCCGGCUGUGAUGGGUAGGGGAGCGUCGUCUGCCGGGUGAAGCAGCACCGGAAGGUAGUUGUGGACGGUUGACGAGUGAGAAUGCAGGCAUGAGUAGCGAUUCACACGUGAGAAACGUGUGCGCCGAUUGACUAAGGGUUCCUGGGUCAAGCUGAUCUGCCCAGGGUAAGUCGGGACCUAAGGCGAGGCCGACAGGCGUAGUCGAUGGAUAACCGGUUGAUAUUCCGGUACCCGCUGUGAAGCGUCAAACAUCGAGCAUCGUGAUGCUAAGGCCGUGAAGCCGCCCCUGAUCUCUUCGGAGUGAGGGGGAGUGGUGGAGCCGCCGAACCAAGCGGUUAGUAGGUGAGUGAUGGGGUGACGCAGGAAGGUAGUCCAGCCCGGGCGGUGGUUGUCCCGGGGUAAGGGUGUAGCCCGUCAUCUAGGUAAAUCCGGAUGACAUGAGGGUGAGACCUGAUGCCGAGCCGAUUGUGGUGAAGUGGAUGAUCCUAUGCUGUCGAGAAAAGCCUCUAGCGAGUUUCAUGGCGGCCCGUACCCUAAACCGACUCAGGUGGUCAGGUAGAGAAUACCGAGGCGUUCGGGUGAACUAUGGUUAAGGAACUCGGCAAAAUGCCCCCGUAACUUCGGGAGAAGGGGGGCCACAUCCGGUGAUGAGCUUUGCGCUCUGAGCUGGGGGUGGCCGCAGAGACCAGCGAGAAGCGACUGUUUACUAAAAACACAGGUCCGUGCGAAGCCGUAAGGCGAUGUAUACGGACUGACGCCUGCCCGGUGCUGGAACGUUAAGGGGACCGGUUAGUCACUCUUCGGGGUGGCGAAGCUGAGAACUUAAGCGCCAGUAAACGGCGGUGGUAACUAUAACCAUCCUAAGGUAGCGAAAUUCCUUGUCGGGUAAGUUCCGACCUGCACGAAUGGCGUAACGACUUCUCGACUGUCUCAACCAUAGGCCCGGUGAAAUUGCACUACGAGUAAAGAUGCUCGUUUCGCGCAGCAGGACGGAAAGACCCCGGGACCUUUACUACAGUUUGAUAUUGGUGUUCGGUUCGGCUUGUGUAGGAUAGCUGGGAGACUGUGAAGCGCUAACGCCAGUUAGUGUGGAGUCGUCGUUGAAAUACCAGUCUGGUCGUGCUGGAUGUCUAACCUGGGUCCGUGAUCCGGAUCAGGGACAGUGUCUGAUGGGUAGUUUAACUGGGGCGGUUGCCUCCUAAAGAGUAACGGAGGCGCCCAAAGGUUCCCUCAGCCUGGUUGGCAAUCAGGUGUUGAGUGUAAGUGCACAAGGGAGCUUGACUGUGAGACCGACGGGUCGAGCAGGGACGAAAGUCGGGACUAGUGAUCCGGCGGUGGCUUGUGGAAGCGCCGUCGCUCAACGGAUAAAAGGUACCCCGGGGAUAACAGGCUGAUCUUCCCCAAGAGUCCAUAUCGACGGGAUGGUUUGGCACCUCGAUGUCGGCUCGUCGCAUCCUGGGGCUGGAGUCGGUCCCAAGGGUUGGGCUGUUCGCCCAUUAAAGCGGUACGCGAGCUGGGUUUAGAACGUCGUGAGACAGUUCGGUCCCUAUCCGCUGUGCGCGUAGGAGUCUUGAGAAGGGCUGUCCCUAGUACGAGAGGACCGGGACGGACGAACCUCUGGUGUGCCAGUUGUUCUGCCAAGGGCAUGGCUGGUUGGCUACGUUCGGGAGGGAUAACCGCUGAAAGCAUCUAAGCGGGAAGCCUGCUUCGAGAUGAGGACUCCCACCUCCUAGAGAGGGUAAGGCUCCCAGUAGACGACUGGGUUGAUAGGCCGGAUAUGGAAGCACGGUAACGUGUGGAGUUGACCGGUACUAAUAGGCCGAGGGCUUGUCCUC
RNAcentral lists this ribosomal RNA (3125 nucleotides) under Streptomyces africanus. RNAcentral describes it as "23S ribosomal RNA". It matches the Rfam family "Bacterial large subunit ribosomal RNA". Lineage: Bacteria; Bacillati; Actinomycetota; Actinomycetes; Kitasatosporales; Streptomycetaceae. The record is from RNAcentral.